UAGCGUCAUCAGGGGCUGGAGAAGGGGCAGUGGGCCACAGAGGCCUAAGGGAGGAACACGUGGCCAGAGGAAGGGAGCCGGCUCCCAGGGAAGCCCGGAGCCGGGAAGUGGCUUUCCGGAGGGCUCGCGGCUCCACUUUCGCUUACGAUGGGGCGACUCUUGUCCAUCGUCGCCUCACCUGGAAACUUUUCCUGCCGGCCCAGUUAAUGGUCUCCUGUACCAUCCCCAUCCUGAGUGACUACUAAGCAGCCGCAGCGACUCGGGGUUGCUCCGUGACCACGUUACUCAGUUACCUUCUUGUUCCCUGGAGAGGCGGAGCUGAAUGGCCCAGACGGGGUUUCUCCAUGUUUCCCAGGCUGGUCUCAAACUCCUGGGCUCAAGCAGUCUGCCCACCAUGCCUCCCAAAAUGCUCCUCCAAAAAAGGAGUGUGCCACCACACCCAGCCUGAGCAACUUUUGUUUUUAAGCUGACUAAAGUCAGAGAUUCCCCUGCUGACCUUGAAAAAGCAAGUCACCAUGAAUUCAACAGGUGCAAAGAAAUGAAUUCUGUCAACAAUCAAGUGACUUUGGAAGAGGUUCCUGAGCCUCAGAUGAGACCCCAGCCUGGCCAACACUUUGAAGCCUCAUGAGAAUGACCAUCCAACUAAGCCUUGCCCUGACCCCUGAACCCAUGGAAACUGUGAGAUAAUAAAUGUAUGUUGUUUUAAGCUAUUACGUUUGGGAUAAUUUCUUACAUCAUAGGCAACUAUUGCAGCCAUGUAGUUAUUCUUUUAAAAAUUAAUAUGAACUAUUUCAAAUAUAUAGAAAGUAGUAAAGAAUAGUAUAAAUAGUAUCAUGUAUCCAAUAUGAAGAAAUAGAGUAUUAUAAGUAAUGUUGAAAUUUGUUGUAUAGCCUUUUCUAAUUCUGCUUUCCUUAAUUCUUCCCGAGAUGCAACCCACUGUAAUGAAGGUGUUGAUUAGCGUUUAUGCGCAUUUUUUAGAACAGCAUUUCACUAUAUGUAUGUAUGUCUAAAAGCAACAUAUAAUAUCAUUUAUUUCUGUUUGAUUUCUCCUCUAUUAGAAAUAGAUAAAAUGCUUUCAUUAUAAUUGUUUCCUGUUAAUUUUUUUUGUAUCAUCGUCCAGUUUUACAUUAUGAAUUUUAACAACAUUUUGUUAGUUGCUGUGACAGAGACAUUUAAUAUUACUGAAUAAACAUGUGCUUCAUCACAUCUGCCAGCUCCCUAACAGUUGGGUCAUGCCAUGUGACAAGUUCUGGCCAACUGCUUGGCAGUUGGCAACCAAGGAACUGUAUGUUAAGAUGAUUGGGCCUGCCAGGUUUGAAACUGCCAGGACUUCUGAGUCACCACAUGGAAAACUGCUGGUCUGCAGAGUUAUAAAAUUUGGCUAGGACUUCGUGUUGAGUGAGAAAUAAACCUUUUGUUUGUGAAGCCAGUAUAAGUUAUUAUUGUAGCAUAGCCUACAUUAUUCUGUCUGAUGUAGAAAAAUACAAGUUCAUGUUAUUUUAUACUGAUGUUAUUAUGUUCCUUUAAUAAUUUAUCCUUAUUAAACCCUUUGCCUCAUAUUUUACUUGAUAAUUUUUGAUCAUCCCAUUAUUUUCAACCCUUUGUUUUAUUUAAGACUUGUAACUAGGCUAUAGCUGGGUGUAUCUUAAAAAUCAAAUCUAAUAGUUUUUUCUCUUCUUUUAGGUAUUUUAAUCCACUUACAUUUUUGGAAUUACUAAUAGAUUUACUUAGACUUAUUUCUAUGGUUUUAUUAUUAUCAAGAUUUUAGUUCCAACUUUUAAAAAAUAACCAUCAUUAGCUGUCAUUUGAUAUUAUAGUCAGUAGUUGGUACAAUUUGUUAGCUUAUUGUUAAAAAAUUGUUUUCUGUAUUUAGUGUUGUUUUAUUCCAGCCCCUUAUUUAAAAGGCUUUUCCCUCUGAACUCAUCAUUGAUCUGGAUGAGGUGCAUACUCUUUUAACAGUGUUUAUUAUGUGUGUAUGAAAAGGUCUGUAGAUAAUAAGCUCCAUUAAACUCUUUCGCAUAUGAAAAUGUCUUUAUUUCACCUUUACCUUUGAAUGAUAUGUAUAGCGUUCAGUUAUUUUUCAAAAAUGUUUUGCUGAUAUUACUUUACAAACUUCUGGUA
Molecule: long non-coding RNA, 2121 nt
Organism: Pongo pygmaeus (Bornean orangutan)
Lineage: Eukaryota; Metazoa; Chordata; Mammalia; Primates; Hominidae
Exons: 4
Source: RefSeq, a predicted model, not a curated record